UUGGGCUCCAAUCAAGAGUGUGGGAGCAGUAAGGAAGGUGGAAAUCAGAACAAAGUCAAGUCCAUGGCGAAUCAGCUGCUGGCCAAGUUUGAGGAGAGCACUCGGAACCCCUCACUCAUGAAGCAGGAAUCUAUGCGAAAGUCAUUUCCCCUUAACCUGGGAGGCAGCGACACAUGUUACUUCUGUAAGAAACGUGUGUACGUGAUGGAACGGCUGAGCGCCGAGGGCCACUUCUUCCACCGGGAGUGUUUCCGCUGCAGCAUCUGUGCCACCACCUUGCGCCUGGCCGCCUACACCUUUGACUGCGAUGAAGGUAACCCCAGGGGCCAGGGCAGCACUGGGCUCUGGCCUUGGCCUCAGGUGUGACCUUGGCUCAGGUUCCUGUCCCUCUGGUGGCUCUAGGACACCCAAACAUACCCAAAAGGAAGUAUGAUGUCAUCAGGAAAGCUGCUCAGGGAGACUGGGAGCUCCUGCUAGAAGGGGAGGCUGCCUGUGGUCCCAGGGAAGGGGUAGCAUCAGCACUGUGGUAUGGCAUACCAGAUCCUGGUGGGCACCUGUGUGCCCAGGGCUCUAUG
This 575-nucleotide small RNA is filed under the name Pan troglodytes (chimpanzee). RNAcentral's name for it is "retained intron". The record is from RNAcentral. Lineage: Eukaryota; Metazoa; Chordata; Mammalia; Primates; Hominidae.